This 423-nucleotide long non-coding RNA is filed under the name Mytilus galloprovincialis (Mediterranean mussel). The record is from RNAcentral. Lineage: Eukaryota; Metazoa; Mollusca; Bivalvia; Mytilida; Mytilidae.
GUUUGAAAUUUGUUCUGGUCUGAUGAUAUUGUGCAGUUAUGGUCCUUGGCCUUGGAACAAAUAAAUUGCCAGUUGAAACCUAUGGAAAAUCACAUUUUCAUCUUCCUCUUACUUAUUAAUUGGUGGUUGUUUGCUUUUAAACACCUAGUGGGAAACAUUUCAUGCAUAUUCAGUAGAGAACAACAAUAAAUCUGAUUUCUGCAAAGUGGACCACAAACAGACACCUUAAAUUGUUGUUGCAAGGAUUCUUUAUGGUGCAGAGAAUGGCACUUUUCCUGCAUAUAUCUAAAUGAAUAUAUUCAACUACUUUUUAUUCAGAAAUUGUUGUGUGCAUUUAUAUAUUAUUAGUUUUUGAGGUUUGGACAAAAAUGGAAGAUUAGUUAUUGCAAUUUUAGGAAAAGCUGCAUACAUACAGAUAUCAGA